Molecule: ribosomal RNA, 506 nt
Filed under: uncultured bacterium
Lineage: Bacteria
Description: partial 16S ribosomal RNA
Rfam family: Bacterial small subunit ribosomal RNA
Source: RNAcentral
AGUGAACGCUGGCGGUAGGCCUAACACAUGCAAGUCGAACGGCAGCACAGGAGAGCUUGCUCUCUGGGUGGCGAGUGGCGGACGGGUGAGGAAUACAUCGGAAUCUACUCUGUCGUGGGGGAUAACGUAGGGAAACUUACGCUAAUACCGCAUACGACCUACGGGUGAAAGCAGGGGACCUUCGGGCCUUGCGCGAUUGAAUGAGCCGAUGUCGGAUUAGCUAGUUGGCGGGGUAAAGGCCCACCAAGGCGACGAUCCGUAGCUGGUCUGAGAGGAUGAUGAGCCACACGGGAACUGAAACACAGUCCAGAAGCCUACGGAAGGCAGCAGUGGGGAAUAUUGGACAAUGGGCGCAAGCCUGAUCCAGCCAUACCGCGUGGGUGAAGAAGGCCUUCGGGUUGUAAAGCCCUUUUGUUGGGAAAGAAAUCCAGCUGGCUAAUACCCGGUUGGGAUGACGGUACCCAAAGAAUAAGCACCGGCUAACUUCGUGCCAGCCGCCGCCGUAA